UACGUAGGGUGCGAGCGUUGUCCGGAAUUACUGGGCGUAAAGCGUGCGCAGGCGGUGAUGUAAGACAGGUGUGAAAUCCCCGGGCUUAACCUGGGAACUGCAUUUGUGACUGCAUCGCUGGAGUGCGGCAGAGGGGGAUGGAAUUCCGCGUGUAGCAGUGAAAUGCGUAGAUAUGCGGAGGAACACCGAUGGCGAAGGCAAUCCCCUGGGCCUGCACUGACGCUCAUGCACGAAAGCGUGGGGAGCAAACAGG
This 253-nucleotide ribosomal RNA is filed under the name uncultured bacterium. RNAcentral's name for it is "partial 16S ribosomal RNA". It matches the Rfam family "Bacterial small subunit ribosomal RNA", at positions 524 to 776 of the family's 1533-position model. The record is from RNAcentral.